UUACCUGGUCCGGACAUCAAAAGGAUAGACAGACUGCCAGAUCUUUCUUGAUAUGGUGAUUGGUGGUGCAUGGCCGUUCUUAGUUCGUGGAGUGAUCUGUCAGGCCAAUCCCGGUAACGAACGAGACCACAUUCUCCAUUUGACGAGCCGGAGAAGGCCGUGGUAAUGGAAAUUUUUGUUUACAAAAGUUUCUGCUAUCAUUGUUGAAGGCAUCGUAUAGUUGCCAAGGGUGUAUUGGUUGAGGUGGCAACAUCAAGGCUGAUGCAUUUGAGGUAAUCUGUGCGCUCCCUCCGGCUUAGCAGUGCAUGUCUUGCAAGAGUCGUGUAUUGUAUCAUGGAGAGACAACGGAAAAUAUUUUAAAAAUCCGAGGAAGUGUGGCUAUAACAGGUCUGUGAUGCCCUUAGAUGUUCAGGGCUGCACGCGCGCUACAAU
This 432-nucleotide ribosomal RNA is filed under the name Henneguya ictaluri. RNAcentral's name for it is "SSU rRNA". It matches the Rfam family "Eukaryotic small subunit ribosomal RNA", at positions 1215 to 1504 of the family's 1831-position model. RNAcentral also lists the same sequence under 1 other name. The record is from RNAcentral. Lineage: Eukaryota; Metazoa; Cnidaria; Myxozoa; Bivalvulida; Myxobolidae.